GACGAACGCUGGCGGCGUGCUUAACACAUGCAAGUCGAACGGAAAGGCCCUGCUUGCAGGGUACUCGAGUGGCGAACGGGUGAGUAACACGUGGGUGUUCUGCCCUGCACUUCGGGAUAUGCCUGGGAAACUGGGUCUAAUAUCGGAUAGGAGCCAUUUUUCGUGUGAUGGUUGGAAAGUUUUUUCGGUGUAGGAUGAGCUCGCGGCCUAUCAGCUUGUUGGUUGGGUAAUGGCCUACCAAGGCGGCGACGGGUAGCCGGCCUGGGAGGGUGGACGGCCACAUUGGGGCUGGGGUACGGCCCAGACUCCUACGGGGGGCAGCAGUGGGGGAUAUUGGACAAUGGGCGCAAGCCUGAUGCAGCGACGCCGCGGGGGGGGUGAAGGCCUUCGGGUUGUAAACUCCUUUCGCUAGGGACGAAGCUUUGUGUGACGGUACCUAGAGAAGAAGCACCGGCUAACUACGUG
This 465-nucleotide ribosomal RNA is filed under the name uncultured bacterium. Its description in RNAcentral is "partial 16S ribosomal RNA". It matches the Rfam family "Bacterial small subunit ribosomal RNA", at positions 28 to 507 of the family's 1533-position model. The record is from RNAcentral.